RNAcentral lists this ribosomal RNA (776 nucleotides) under uncultured Neocallimastigales. RNAcentral describes it as "partial large subunit ribosomal RNA". It matches the Rfam family "Eukaryotic large subunit ribosomal RNA", at positions 22 to 635 of the family's 3401-position model. The record is from RNAcentral. Lineage: Eukaryota; Fungi; Neocallimastigomycota; Neocallimastigomycetes; Neocallimastigales.
GUACACGCUGUGACUAGCAUAUCAAUAAGCGGAGGAAAAGAAACUAACAAGGAUUCCCUUAGUAACGGCGAGUGAAGCGGGAAGAGCUCAAAUUUGAAAUCUUCAAGGUUUUACCUUGACGAAUUGUAGUUUAAAGAAGUGUUUUCUGCUGAAGUUUUGGUAAAAGUUCUUUGGAAUAGGACAUCAUAGAGGGUGAGAAUCCCGUAUUUGACCAUUAUUUUCAGCUUUGUGAUACACUUUCAAAGAGUCGGAUUGUUUGGGAAUGCAGUCCAAAAUGGGUGGUAAAUUUCAUCUAAAGCUAAAUAUUGGCGAGAGACCGAUAGCGAACAAGUACCGUGAGGGAAAGAUGAAAAGAACUUUGAAAAGAGAGUUAAACAGUACGUGAAAUUGUCAAAAGGGAAGCGUUUGACACCAGUGUUGUUUUCUCGAAAAUCAAUUAAAAAUGGCUCGAUUUUGUAUUGUUUGAGACCUUAAAAGCUCACUGUACAUUUCUUCGUGUCUUUUUUAAUGCACUUUUCGUUUAACAAGUCAACAUCAGUUUCUUUUGUUGUAAAAGGGUCAUUGGAAGGUGGCUUUCUUUUCGGAGAAAGUGUUUAUAGCCUUUGGCCUCUGCAAUCGGAGAGACUGAGGUCUGCAGCGUAGACUCUUCGGGGUUAGAUACAUUUGUGCUAAGCUAUAGCUUUUUAUAGACAACUUGUUGACUAUAAUUAGUCUUGUAGCUUACUCGCUUAUGCUAUUUUACCUACGCUUAGGAUGUUGAUCUACAGAGCGAGAGU